Molecule: non-coding RNA, 72 nt
Organism: Phrynosoma platyrhinos (Desert horned lizard)
Lineage: Eukaryota; Metazoa; Chordata; Lepidosauria; Squamata; Phrynosomatidae
Source: the annotation of a GenBank genome assembly
GCCAGUGUGGUGUAGUGGUUUGAGUGUUGGACUACAACUCUAGAGACCAGGGUUCGGAUCUUCACUCUGCCA